Molecule: long non-coding RNA, 1354 nt
Filed under: Cricetulus griseus (Chinese hamster)
Lineage: Eukaryota; Metazoa; Chordata; Mammalia; Rodentia; Cricetidae
Description: lncRNA (ENSCGRG00015042009.1)
Source: RNAcentral
ACUUUCAUCUUAUUAACAAUUAAGGGGACAAACAAAUUCACUGACAUUUAUAUUUUGGUGCAGGGUUUUGCACAGAAACAUUGUGAAACCCUUGCACUGAUUUUUUUUUAAAAAAAAAUAUUCUGUUUGCUGACACAAUGGAGAAUUGAGCCAAAUAACUUGCCUUUAGCAAGACAAAUACUCUCUCAAUCAACUGUGUCCUGCCUCAUUUUGAGACAAGAUAGCCAGGCUAGUCUAGAACUAGCCACAGUGCAGCCUUUAUUUCUCUAGUGGCAGGCAAAAUAAGAUAGUCACUGUGUCUUCCUCAUUUUCACUUUUAUCAUAAAUACAUUUCAUUGCUUAUUUACCCAGAUUGUCACCAAUCUCAUAAUUCUCCUACCUCAGUCUCCUCAGUGGUAUUUGACUACAGGAGAAGCAAAGACCAGACUGUGAGAUCUUCAACUUUACAGAAAUGCUCAGACCAUGUUACUAGGUAACAAAGGAGCUUCCAUUCAUGGGUUUCUCUGUUGCUUUGGAGCCUAUCCUGGAACCAGCUCUUGCAGACCAAGCUGAUCUCGAACUCACAGAGAUCCAACUGUCUUUGCCUCCCAAGUGCUGGGAUUAAAGGCGUUUGCCCAUACUACCCUGCUAUUCCUGACUCUUGAUAACAGCCAUAAAGACAGAGAAUGGACAAACAGUCCUGUUAAAGUAAGCACUGGACUUUUCCAAGAUUUUUAUAUUGUUCCCUAAAUUAUCUUUGCAGGGAAAACUCUACAAGGUUUUAUUUUCCCAUGUCUUAAGCACAAAACUGAAACCUAGGGCUCUUAAGUAAAUUAAGAGUUUUAGCUUAGUUCUGGCUGAAACAGAUGUUAUGUGCCCUUUGAUGAAAAUGCUUCUUAUGGAUACAACAUCAGGAUUGGGUGAUGGCUCAGUGGAGGAUUUCUUUCCUAGUGUUUGCAACAUUGGUUGGUAUCCCCAGCACUGCAAAAAUAAAUAAAUAAAUAAAUAAAUAAAUAAAUAAAUAAAUAGAUCUCAUGAUAGAAAUAAAUAACUUCAGUACUGAUAAAUCAGUAACAGAGUUGUAAAAGAAACCCAGAAGCCUAUAAGAAUUCAAAAUAAUAAACGUCACCUUCCAAAGAGCAGCUUUUAACUUCAUGUUAUUCCCUUCUCUAAUUAAAUUUCCCCUGCACAUUAAAAAAGUUUUCGGAAUAGUAAUUAUAGAUAUUUUCCUUUGGUUAGAACAUCUCCCAUUCUUUAAAGAAGAUAUGGGUAAUCUUGAAAAUGACUGACAAAUAUUUUUAUCCUUCAUACCUUUAUAAAAAGGUGAUGUCUAGACAUAUGGAUAGAAUAUACAUGACACAUAUCUUAGCUAAUU